This 299-nucleotide long non-coding RNA is filed under the name Capsicum annuum. RNAcentral's name for it is "long non-coding RNA (CANN_LNC005890)". Lineage: Eukaryota; Viridiplantae; Streptophyta; Magnoliopsida; Solanales; Solanaceae. The record is from RNAcentral.
UGAAAUUGAGAGAUUGAAAUAUAUAAUAUCUUGCAUCUCGUGAAAAUAGAGAGACUGUUAUAGCUCGUAAAAUAGAGAGAUUGUUUUCGCUCUGUACUUUCAUCACAAAAAUAAAUUUCCAGUGAUCUUAAUUCACAUCUUCUUCUCCACCUCUUUUACCUGUCAAACACACACACUCUUUUUCCUCCAUUUCAAUUACCAAAAACCUCCCUCACCAUCCCCAUAAACCCCAAAAUCUUCCUCCUCCUUCCAUGUCCUAAAAUACCUACCCCCACGCCACCCCACCCCCACCCCCNNNN